RNAcentral lists this ribosomal RNA (570 nucleotides) under uncultured bacterium. RNAcentral's name for it is "partial 16S ribosomal RNA". It matches the Rfam family "Bacterial small subunit ribosomal RNA", at positions 355 to 919 of the family's 1533-position model. The record is from RNAcentral.
UGGGGAAUUUUGGACAAUGGGCGAAAGCCUGAUCCAGCAAUGCCGCGUGUGUGAAGAAGGCCUUCGGGUUGUAAAGCACUUUUGUCCGGAAAGAAAUCCUUGGCUCUAAUACAGUCGGGGGAUGACGGUACCGGAAGAAUAAGCACCGGCUAACUACGUGCCAGCAGCCGCGGUAAUACGUAGGGUGCAAGCGUUAAUCGGAAUUACUGGGCGUAAAGCGUGCGCAGGCGGUUUGCUAAGACCGAUGUGAAAUCCCCGGGCUCAACCUGGGAACUGCAUUGGUGACUGGCAGGCUAGAGUAUGGCAGAGGGGGGUAGAAUUCCACGUGUAGCAGUGAAAUGCGUAGAGAUGUGGAGGAAUACCGAUGGCGAAGGCAGCCCCUGGGCCAAUACUGACGCUCAUGCACGAAAGCGUGGGGAGCAAACAGGAUUAGAUACCCUGGUAGUCCACGCCCUAAACGAUGUCAACUAGUUGUUGGGGAUUCAUUUCCUUAGUAACGUAGCUAACGCGUGAAGUUGACCGCCUGGGGAGUACGGUCGCAAGAUUAAAACUCAAAUGAAUUGACGGGGU